GUGCAGAGUGUGGCUCAGAUUUCACAUACUAAAAUGGAUGUUGCCAAUCUGGUUAAAGUCUUUGGCCCUACAGUAGUGGCCCAUGCUGUGCCCAGUCCAGACCCAGUGACAAUGUUACAGGACAUCAAGUGUCAACUCAAGGUGAUCAAGCGCCUGCUUUCCCUGCCCCUGGUGUACUGGAGUCAGUUCAUGAUGGUGGAGCAAGAAAACAUUGACCCCAAACACCUUUUCAACACCACAGACAUCAGAUAUUAAAGUGAGUUUACUGGGACCUGUGACCAUUCCUGAACAUCAGCUUCUCAAGAGUCCUUCAUCUAGUCCCCUGUCACAGAGAUUCCAUUCCACCCUCACAAAGAACACUCCCAGAUUUGGGAACAGAAACUCCUCUUUCUACCAUCU
RNAcentral lists this long non-coding RNA (399 nucleotides) under Homo sapiens (human). RNAcentral's name for it is "non-protein coding lnc-MIS18BP1-3:1". The record is from RNAcentral. Lineage: Eukaryota; Metazoa; Chordata; Mammalia; Primates; Hominidae.